AGUUCGGAUCGCAGGCUGCAACCCGCCUGCGUGAAGUCGGAAUCGCUAGUAAUCGCGGAUCAGCAUGCCGCGGUGAAUACGUUCCCGGGCCUUGUACACACCGCCCGUCACACCAUGAGAGUCGGGAACACCCGAAGCCCGUAGCCUAACAGCAAUGAGGGCGCAGUCGAAGGUGGGAUUGAUAAUUAGGGUGAAGUCGUAACAAGGUAAC
Molecule: ribosomal RNA, 211 nt
Filed under: uncultured bacterium
Lineage: Bacteria
Description: partial 16S ribosomal RNA
Rfam family: Bacterial small subunit ribosomal RNA
Source: RNAcentral